UAAGGGUUGAAGGGAAAACCCUAGCCGCCAUCGUAUUCUUUUUCUCUCUCCUAGUCAUAUAUGGCCAAAAAUGGUAAAAACACAGACGUACGAUGCUUUAACAGGUUGUGUAUAGCCGGUUUGAGGAAGCAUUUAUUGUUUUUUGUGCAAAUCCACCGCGCAUCAACCAAACAAGUUUUUGUUUUGUUUGUGGCUGAGGAUUGGGGUAAAGGAGCAAGGAAUCUCCAAAUCCAAUCUCGACAUUUGGCUACACGCAAAAAAGAUAAUUUUCUUUC
This is a long non-coding RNA of Lycium ferocissimum, 275 nucleotides long. RefSeq lists it as uncharacterized. The record is from RefSeq and is a predicted model, not a curated record. The transcript is spliced from 2 exons. Lineage: Eukaryota; Viridiplantae; Streptophyta; Magnoliopsida; Solanales; Solanaceae.